UUUUAAUUUAUUUUUUUAACAUCUUUUUUCAUGUCUUUGUUUUAGUAAAUGGAAAUAUGGCUGGAAGGGUCCUUGAGAGAUUACAUGUUCCCUCAUUUCUUCACCAAUAUGAAAGCUGAAGCAUAUGACAAAGACAAAGCAUAAUAGAAGGUCAUUCCUGAUCCAGCUUACACAGACCUUCCAUGUUCCCUGUCUACAGACCAUGAGCUCCCUCAGGUUCAAGGCAGCAAGACUCACGAUCCUGUUCACAGAAUGUGCCUGUUUUGCAGUCAUGGAGACACCCAGCCAGGUGAGGUUUGUGGCACUGAAAGCUUUGUGUUUGAAGAAUUAAGGAAUCAAAAUCAACUUGAAGCUUGUUUGAUUGCAGCAGGCCAAGAUGAUUUUCAGUCUAAGUCUCAAGGUGGAAAUCUUUCCGGCUGUGCUGAUGACAAACGUCUCACUCUAGGCU
Molecule: long non-coding RNA, 448 nt
Filed under: Coturnix japonica (Japanese quail)
Lineage: Eukaryota; Metazoa; Chordata; Aves; Galliformes; Phasianidae
Description: lncRNA (ENSCJPG00005005724.1)
Source: RNAcentral